RNAcentral lists this ribosomal RNA (327 nucleotides) under uncultured eukaryote. RNAcentral's name for it is "partial 18S ribosomal RNA". It matches the Rfam family "Eukaryotic small subunit ribosomal RNA", at positions 1470 to 1796 of the family's 1831-position model. The record is from RNAcentral.
CCCUUAGAUGUUCUGGGCCGCACACGCGCUACACUGAAGGAGGCAGCGUGUACUCCUGGAUCGAAAGAUUUGGGUAACCCGCGAAUCUCCUUCGUGCUAGGGAUUGAGGUUUGCAAUUAUCCUUCAUGAACGAGGAAUUCCCAGUAAGUGCAAGUCAUAAGCUUGCGCUGACUACGUCCCUGCCCUUUGUACACACCGCCCGUCGCUACUACCGAUUGAAUGAUUUAGUGAGGACUUCGGACUGGGACCGAUGCGGCUUUCGGGCUGCGUCGGUAUUCUGGAAAGAUGUCCAAACUGUAUCAUUUAGAGGAAGGAGAAGUCGUAACA